ACGUAGGGAGCGAGCGUUGUCCGAAUUCACUGGGCGUAAAGCGCGCGUAGGCGGGUUAUUAAGUUGGUGGUGAAAUCCCGGAGCUCAACUUCGGAACUGCCGUCAAAACUGGUAGCCUUGAGGUAUGGAGAGGGAAUUGGAAUUCCUGGUGUAGCGGUGAAAUGCGUAGAUAUCAGGAGGAACACCCAUGGCGAAGGCAGAUUCCUGGCCAUAUCCUGACGCUGAGGUGCGAAAGCCAGGGUAGCGAACGG
This 251-nucleotide ribosomal RNA is filed under the name uncultured prokaryote. RNAcentral's name for it is "partial 16S rRNA". It matches the Rfam family "Bacterial small subunit ribosomal RNA", at positions 525 to 775 of the family's 1533-position model. The record is from RNAcentral.